UUAAGUGACGAUAGCCUAGGAGAUACACCUGUACCCAUGCCGAACACAGAAGUUAAGCCCUAGAACGCCGGAAGUAGUAGGGGGUUGCCCCCUGUGAGAUAGGGAAGUCGCUUAGC
This 116-nucleotide ribosomal RNA is filed under the name Streptococcus pneumoniae. Lineage: Bacteria; Bacillati; Bacillota; Bacilli; Lactobacillales; Streptococcaceae. The record is from RNAcentral.